Molecule: ribosomal RNA, 770 nt
Filed under: Staphylococcus epidermidis
Lineage: Bacteria; Bacillati; Bacillota; Bacilli; Caryophanales; Staphylococcaceae
Description: bacterial SSU rRNA
Rfam family: Bacterial small subunit ribosomal RNA
Source: RNAcentral
CUAUAAUGCAGUCGAGCGAACAGACGAGGAGCUUGCUCCUCUGACGUUAGCGGCGGACGGGUGAGUAACACGUGGAUAACCUACCUAUAAGACUGGGAUAACUUCGGGAAACCGGAGCUAAUACCGGAUAAUAUAUUGAACCGCAUGGUUCAAUAGUGAAAGACGGUUUUGCUGUCACUUAUAGAUGGAUCCGCGCCGCAUUAGCUAGUUGGUAAGGUAACGGCUUACCAAGGCAACGAUGCGUAGCCGACCUGAGAGGGUGAUCGGCCACACUGGAACUGAGACACGGUCCAGACUCCUACGGGAGGCAGCAGUAGGGAAUCUUCCGCAAUGGGCGAAAGCCUGACGGAGCAACGCCGCGUGAGUGAUGAAGGUCUUCGGAUCGUAAAACUCUGUUAUUAGGGAAGAACAAAUGUGUAAGUAACUAUGCACGUCUUGACGGUACCUAAUCAGAAAGCCACGGCUAACUACGUGCCAGCAGCCGCGGUAAUACGUAGGUGGCAAGCGUUAUCCGGAAUUAUUGGGCGUAAAGCGCGCGUAGGCGGUUUUUUAAGUCUGAUGUGAAAGCCCACGGCUCAACCGUGGAGGGUCAUUGGAAACUGGAAAACUUGAGUGCAGAAGAGGAAAGUGGAAUUCCAUGUGUAGCGGUGAAAUGCGCAGAGAUAUGGAGGAACACCAGUGGCGAAGGCGACUUUCUGGUCUGUAACUACGCUGAUGUGCGAAAGCGUGGGGAUCAAACAGGAUUAGAAACCCGGGGUAAGUCCAAAAAA